CAACCUCGUCAAAGAAAGAGAAAUCCCACAAGUCAGUUCAGCAAUCAACGAAGAAAAACUCAAGGGAGCCGACCAGGUUAUCUAUCAAAUUAGUUGCCUUGCAGAUGGGUUUCGAUUAAUCCCAGAUGAUCGGGAAAAUUUUAGAAUCAAAAAUUGAGAUCAAUAAAUAGCAGGGAUUGAGGAUACGCAAUUCAGCAACAUAAACCUUGAAAUGCAGUAAGCGCAUCUAUGAU
This 233-nucleotide long non-coding RNA is filed under the name Linum usitatissimum (flax). Its description in RNAcentral is "long non-coding RNA (LUSI_LNC000482)". The record is from RNAcentral. Lineage: Eukaryota; Viridiplantae; Streptophyta; Magnoliopsida; Malpighiales; Linaceae.